CACCUCAAAACCUGAUGCUAGACAUUUCCCAAUCCCAACCACCUCAAAACCUGAUGCAAGAUGUUUCCCAAUCUCAACCAAUCACUUCUUAGCAUUUCUUCUAUCUAGUGUCUUGCCAUCACAGUCACAUUUUUAAAGGAGGCUUCAUAAAAUAGGGAAUUACAUUCUGUAGAUCAGAAGCCAGAGCCCUGCUCUGAAGAAAUGAGCCCUGCUCUGAAGAAAUGAGCCCUGCUCCGAGGAAGCCCCCACAUUCUCCUCUUUCAAAGCAGCUGCUGUAGUGGCUAAUUAGGCUACAGAGACUACACUUCAGACAGCAUGUCAACCAUGAAACCACGCAGGGCCUGCAGACAAAAUGGCACCCUAUCCCCUUUACAGUGCACCACUUUUGACUGGGGCCCAUAGGGCUAUGUACAAAAGUAUUGCACUAUAUAAGGAAUAGGGUGACAUUUUGGGAAUCACACGGUAUGUCAGCCAAUUGAUUGAUAGAAAAAAAAACAAAAAAAACAAUGCCAUUUAAAAAAACACAUAUAAUCACAGUAUGUAUAGUACUUAACAAAACAAACAUGACAGGAAUAACACAGGAAAGUCAGAGAUUUAUUUCCAAUGUGUUCACUACAGUGCAUGGAGAAAAACAAAACAAACAUGACAGGAAUAACACAGGAAAGUCAGAGAUUUAUUUCCAAUGUGUUCACUAUAGUGCAUGGAGAAAAACAAAACUAACAUGACAGGAAUAACACAGGAAAGUCAGAGAUUUAUUUCCAAUGUGUUCACUACAGUGCAUGGAGAAAAACAAAACAACACAUUUAAGAUGUCAAAUUAAGAUGAGGGAGAUUGGAUUUCUCUCAAGUUGGAUUCAGAUGAUGAAAAGGCUGGGAGUCGAGGCAAUUUUGAUUGGAAAUCAAGUGUAGCUUCUGCGGCAGGGUGGCAUCGAUGGUACAGCCAGAGGGAAACAAAGACAGUCUGACAAACAGGCCCAGAGCGCUUCAUCAGUGCACAACAUCUGCUUCUUCGGCAGGUCAGCUCCUCUGUAGGUUCCGCUCCUCCGUAGGUACCACUCCUCCGUAGGUACCACUCCUCCGUAGGUACCACUCCUCCGUAGGUACCACUCCUCCGUAGGUACCACUCCUCUGUAGGUACCACUCCUCCGUAGGUACCACUCCUCCGUAGGUACCACUCCUCCGUAGGUACCACUCGUACCACUCCUCUGUAGGUACCUCUCCUCUGUAGGUCCCGCUCCUCUGUAGGUACCACUCCUCCGUAGGUACCACUCCUCCGUAGGUACCUCUCCUCUCUAGGUACCUCUCCUCUGUAGGUACCACUCCUCUGUAGGUACCACUCCUCCGUAGGUACCACUCCUCUGUAGGUACCACUCCUCUGUAGGUCCUGCUCUUCUGUAGGUACCACUCCUCCGUAGGUCCAGCACCUCCGUAGGUCCCGCACCUCCGUAGGUCCCGCUCCUCUGUAGGUCCCGCUCCUCUGUAGGUACCACUCCUCUGUAGGUACCACUCCUCUGUAGGUACCACUCCUCUGUAGGUCCCUCUCCUCUGUAGGUACCUCUCCUCUGUAGAUACCACUCCUCUGUAGGUACCUCUCCUCUGUAGAUACCACUCCUCUGUAGGUACCACUCCUCCGUAGGUACCACUCCUC
Oncorhynchus tshawytscha (Chinook salmon) is the source of this 1647-nucleotide long non-coding RNA. The record is from Ensembl. NCBI's taxonomy places the organism in Eukaryota, Metazoa, Chordata, Actinopteri, Salmoniformes, Salmonidae.